RNAcentral lists this ribosomal RNA (193 nucleotides) under uncultured bacterium. RNAcentral's name for it is "partial 16S ribosomal RNA". It matches the Rfam family "Bacterial small subunit ribosomal RNA", at positions 341 to 525 of the family's 1533-position model. The record is from RNAcentral.
ACCGGAGGCAGCAGUAGGGAAUAUUGGACAAUGGGCGAAAGCCUGAUCCAGCCAUGCCGCGUGUGUGAAGAAGGCCUUUUGGUUGUAAAGCACUUUAAGCGAGGAGGAGGCUACCGAGAUUAAUACUCUAGGAUAGUGGACGUUACUCGCAGAAUAAGCACCGGCUAACUCUGUGCCAGCAGCCGCGGUAAUA